Molecule: ribosomal RNA, 570 nt
Filed under: Didymella glomerata
Lineage: Eukaryota; Fungi; Ascomycota; Dothideomycetes; Pleosporales; Didymellaceae
Description: eukaryotic LSU rRNA
Rfam family: 5.8S ribosomal RNA (bases 203-356)
Source: RNAcentral
CCUUAGAGGAAGUAAAAGUCGUAACAAGGUUUCCGUAGGUGAACCUGCGGAAGGAUCAUACCUAGAGUAUUGUAGGCUUUGUCCUGCUGUCUCUUACCCAUGUUUUUUGAGUACUUACGUUUCCUCGGCGGGUUCGCCCGCCGAUUGGACAAUUUAAACCCAUUGCAGUUGCAAUCAGCGUCUGAAAAACUUUAAUAGUUACAACUUUCAACAACGGAUCUCUUGGUUCUGGCAUCGAUGAAGAACGCAGCGAAAUGCGAUAAGUAGUGUGAAUUGCAGAAUUCAGUGAAUCAUCGAAUCUUUGAACGCACAUUGCGCCCCUUGGUAUUCCAUGGGGCAUGCCUGUUCGAGCGUCAUUUGUACCUUCAAGCUCUGCUUGGUGUUGGGUGUUUGUCUCGCCUCUGCGCGUAGACUCGCCUCAAAACAAUUGGCAGCCGGCGUAUUGAUUUCGGAGCGCAGUACAUCUCGCGCUUUGUGACUCAACCGCGGCGGCGUCCAGAAGUACAUUUUUUACACUCUUGACCUCGGAUCAGGUAGGGAUACCCGCUGAACUUAAGCAUAUCAAUAGCG